UGAGGAAUAUUGGUCAAUGGACGCAAGUCUGAACCAGCCAAGUAGCGUGCAGGAUGACGGCCCUAUGGGUUGUAAACUGCUUUUAUAUGGGGAUAAAGUGGGGAACGUGUUCCCUUUUGCUGGUACCAUACGAAUAAGGACCGGCUAAUACCGUGCUAGCAGCCGCGGUAAUACGGAAGGUCCAGGCGUUAUCCGGCUUUAUUGGGUUUAAAGGGAGCGUAGGCUGUUUGUUAAACGUGUUGUGAAAUGUAAGAGCUCAACUUUUAGAUUGCAGCGCGAACUGGCAGACUUGAGUGCGCACAACGUAGGCGGAAUUCAUGGUGUAGCGGUGAAAUGCUUAGAUAUCAUGACGAGCUCCGAUUGCGAAGGCAGCUUACGGGAGCGCAACUGACGCUAAAGCUCGAAGGUGCGGGUAUCGAACAGG
RNAcentral lists this ribosomal RNA (424 nucleotides) under Verrucomicrobiota bacterium. RNAcentral's name for it is "Verrucomicrobia bacterium partial 16S ribosomal RNA". It matches the Rfam family "Bacterial small subunit ribosomal RNA", at positions 355 to 776 of the family's 1533-position model. Lineage: Bacteria; Pseudomonadati; Verrucomicrobiota. The record is from RNAcentral.